AGCGAACGCUGGCGGCAGGCCUAACACAUGCAAGUCGAACGAACCUUUCGGGGUUAGUGGCGGACGGGUGAGUAACACGUGGGAACGUGCCUUUAGGUUCGGAAUAACUCAGGGAAACUUGUGCUAAUACCGAAUGUGCCCUUCGGGGGAAAGAUUUAUCGCCGUUAGAGCGGCCCGCGUCUGAUUAGCUAGUUGGUUGAGGUAAUGGCUCACCAAGGCGACGAUAAGUAGCUGGUCUGAGAGGAUGAUCAGCCACAUUGGGACUGGGACACGGCCCAAAAUCCUACGGGAGGCAGCAGUGGGGGAUCUUGCGAAAUGGGCGAAAGGCUGAAGCAGCCAGGCCGGGAGAAUGAUGAAGGUCUUAGGAUUGUAAAAUUCUUUCACCGGGGACGAUAAUGACGGUACCCGGAGAAGAAGCCCCGGCUAACUUCGUG
This 434-nucleotide ribosomal RNA is filed under the name uncultured bacterium. RNAcentral's name for it is "partial 16S ribosomal RNA". It matches the Rfam family "Bacterial small subunit ribosomal RNA", at positions 29 to 507 of the family's 1533-position model. The record is from RNAcentral.